AGAGAGAGACAUGCGCGCAUAUCAAUAAGCGGAGGAAAAGAAACUAACAAGGAUUCCCCUAGUAACGGCGAGUGAAGCGGGAAGAGCUCAAAUUUGAAAUCUUAAAGGGUUUCCCUUUACGAAUUGUAGUUUAAAGAAGUGUUUUCUGUUGAGGUUUUGGUAAAAGUUCUUUGGAAUAGGACAUCAUAGAGGGUGAGAAUCCCGUAUUUGACCUUUACUUUCAACUUUGUGAUACACUUUCAAAGAGUCGGAUUGUUUGGGAAUGCAGUCCAAAAUGGGUGGUAAAUUUCAUCUAAAGCUAAAUAUUGGCGAGAGACCGAUAGCGAACAAGUACCGUGAGGGAAAGAUGAAAAGAACUUUGAAAGGAGAGUUAAACAGUACGUGAAAUUGUCAAAAGGGAAGCGUUUGACACCAGUGUUGUUUUUCUGAAAAUCAAUUAAAGAACUGUUUAUGCUAAGCUGUUUAGACUUUAUCAGCUAUCUGUUUAGUUUUGAGCUUUUCUUUAAUGCACUUUUCAGUUAACAAGUCAACAUCAAUUUCUUUUGCUGUAAAAAAGCUUGAGGAAGGUGGCUUGAGAUUCGUCUUAAGUGUUUAUAGCCUCUUGCCUAUGCAGUCGGAGAGAUUGAGGUCUGCAGCGUAGAUCCUUCGGGGCUAAAUGCAUUUGUGCUAAGUUAUAGCAUUUUAUAGACAACUUGUUGACUAUGAUUUGUCUUGUAGCUUACUCGCUUAUGUUAUUUUACCUACGCUUAGGAUGUUGACGCAUGAGAUAUACGC
Molecule: ribosomal RNA, 774 nt
Filed under: uncultured Neocallimastigales
Lineage: Eukaryota; Fungi; Neocallimastigomycota; Neocallimastigomycetes; Neocallimastigales
Description: partial large subunit ribosomal RNA
Rfam family: Eukaryotic large subunit ribosomal RNA
Source: RNAcentral